This 1123-nucleotide unclassified non-coding RNA is filed under the name Portunus trituberculatus (swimming crab). RNAcentral's name for it is "proprotein convertase subtilisin/kexin type 5-like, transcript variant X2". Lineage: Eukaryota; Metazoa; Arthropoda; Malacostraca; Decapoda; Portunidae. The record is from RNAcentral.
CAUACACACUGAGAAUAGCACAGAUGUUUCACCCUCAUUUCUACAUCAUUAUAAAGGUGAGCCACGGACACGGUCAAGCCAGCACCCAUACCACCUUCGCCACGUACAGGACACCUUCACACACGCACGUCAUGUUGUGGAUAACUUCUUUGUCUCUCUUGCUUUCUCUCCAGUUAAUCUCUGGAACAUCAAUGGAGGAACUGCAAGAUGAGAGAGCGGACCCAGCAACGACACCACCAACAACAAUACCACCACCGGGCAAAUGCGAGCCUGACUGCUCCUCUGCUAAAGAUGGCGACAAAGUGGAAAACCCUAAAGAUUGCCACCAGUAUUACGUGUGCUUUGGUGGCAGCGACCCUAUCGGCCCCGUGGACUGCCCUGACGGUCAGUAUUUCAACCGUAGUGCCAGUGACUGCGUGAAAAAUGGCCCUGAGGAAUGCCAGCCGUCAUGUGGAGGGGUGAGUAGCAGCUGUACCUAUGAAUGUGGAGCUGGUAUCGCCCUCAGAGCAGACAGAUAUGACUGUUCCACGUACCAUGACUGUGGUAGCGGCGCCAUGAUGCAGUGUGACAAGGACAGGCCGUUCUUUAAUGGGAAGUCGUGCCAGAGUGACGAGAGUAAGUGCUGUCACUGCAACCCUUACUGCUACACAGACGACAAGAAGGUAGUGGACCCAACGGACUGCACUAAAUUCUACUACUGUAUCAAAGCCAAUGCGAUCCCAGAGUUACCUGGCCAUUGCUCCGCUGGAAACUUUGACCUCUUCACGCAGGAGUGUUCCCUCAGCGCGCCCUGCCUCACCCUCUGCACCAAUGUUGUCAAACCAGACGGCUGCAUCCACACCUACACCUGUGAAGUGAGCGGUUACUUCCCUGCCUGCCCUCACAAGUGCACGCCUGACUACUACCACUGCCUCCUUGAAGACAUCGGUUCCAAUGUGCCAGUUGUCUCUUGCGCUCUGGACACUGUGUUCCACCCCAUUGACAGAAAGUGUGUCGACCCUUCCCAGUGUUCCAUUAAGCACACUUGGCACUGAGACCCCACACACACACACACACACACACACACACACACACACACACACACACACACACACACACACACACACACACACACACACACACA